CCUACGGGAGGCAGCAGUAAGGAAUAUUGGUCAAUGGACGCAAGUCUGAACCAGCCAUGCCGCGUGAAGGAUUAAGGUCCUCUGGAUUGUAAACUUCUUUUAUAUGGGACGAAAAAAGGCGAUUCUUCGUCACUUGACGGUACCAUAUGAAUAAGCACCGGCUAACUCCGUGCCAGCAGCCGCGGUAAUACGGAGGGUGCAAGCGUUAUCCGGAUUCACUGGGUUUAAAGGGUGCGUAGGCGGGCAGGUAAGUCAGUGGUGAAAUCCUGGAGCUUAACUCCAGAACUGCCAUUGAUACUAUCUGUCUUGAAUAUUGUGGAGGUAAGCGGAAUAUGUCAUGUAGCGGUGAAAUGCUUAGAUAUGACAUAGAACACCUAUUGCGAAGGCAGCUUACUACGCAUAUAUUGACGCUGAGGCACGAAAGCGUGGGGAUCAAACAGGAUUAGAUACCCUGGUAGUCCACGCCCUAAACGAUGAUUACUCGACAUUUGUGAUACACUAUAAGUGUCUGAGCGAAAGCAUUAAGUAAUCCACCUGGGAAGUACGACCGCAAGGUUGAAACGUUCAAAUGAAUUGACGG
Molecule: ribosomal RNA, 580 nt
Filed under: uncultured bacterium
Lineage: Bacteria
Description: bacterial SSU rRNA
Rfam family: Bacterial small subunit ribosomal RNA
Source: RNAcentral